Molecule: unclassified non-coding RNA, 1419 nt
Filed under: uncultured Neocallimastigales
Lineage: Eukaryota; Fungi; Neocallimastigomycota; Neocallimastigomycetes; Neocallimastigales
Description: partial contains small subunit ribosomal RNA, internal transcribed spacer 1, 5.8S ribosomal RNA, internal transcribed spacer 2, and large subunit ribosomal RNA
Rfam family: Eukaryotic large subunit ribosomal RNA (bases 662-1419)
Source: RNAcentral
UUUCCGUAGGUGAACCUGCGGAAGGAUCAUUAAAAAAUUGGACUCCAUUGGUGAGUUCAUUAAUAAUCCCUACCCUUUGUGAAUUUGUUUGUUUGAAUAAUUUUUUUUCCAAAAAAAAUUAUUGAAUGUCUUUCCUUGUUUUGGUGGAGCUUGUAAAGUGAAACCAGGCAGGGGAAUGGCAAACAAUAAUUAUUUUUGAAAAAGACCUUUUUUUAAAAUUAAACUUUUUGUAUUCAUUUGUCUAAAAUUAAUUUUUAUAAUAUAAAAACAACUUUUGACAAUGGAUCUCUUGGUUCUCGCAACGAUGAAGAACGCAGCAAAAUGCGAUAAGUAGUGUGAAUUGCAGAAUACGUGAAUCAUCGAAUCUUCGAACGCAUAUUGCACUUUUUUAGUUUACUAAAAAAGUAUGUCUGUUUGAGUAUCAGUAAAAUAUUCUCAUAAAAAACAUUGUUUUUUUUAUGGUUAUGAGUGUUUUACAACGAUAACAAGUUGUUUCACUUUAAAUUCUUUGUUAUCAAAAAAAUCAUUAAAAGCUAAUUUUAAAGAUUUUUUAAAAUUGGAUAAAAUUUUCCCGUAAAAAGGAAUAACCUAAACAAUUUUAAAAAAUUAAAAUUGGUUUGAUUUUUUUUGAAACCCAAAGGAAAAAAAAACGAAAUUAACUUGAUCUCAAAUCAGAUAAGAGUACCCGCUAAACUUAAGCAUAUCAAUAAGCGGAGGAAAAGAAACUAACUAGGAUUCCCUCAGUAACGGCGAGUGAAGCGGGAAGAGCUCAAAUUUGAAAUCUUCAAGGUUUUACCUUGACGAAUUGUAGUUUAAAGAAGUGUUUUCUGUUGGAGUUUUGGUAAAAGUUCUUUGGAAAAGGACAUCAUAGAGGGUGAGAAUCCCGUAUUUGACCAUUAUCUCCAGCUUUGUGAUACACUUUCAAAGAGUCGGAUUGUUUGGGAAUGCAGUCCAAAAUGGGUGGUAAAUUUCAUCUAAAGCUAAAUACUGGCGAGAGACCGAUAGCGAACAAGUACCGUGAGGGAAAGAUGAAAAGAACUUUGAAAAGAGAGUUAAACAGUACGUGAAAUUGUCAAAAGGGAAGCGUUUGACACCAGUGUUGUUUUCUCGAAAAUCAAUUAAAAAAGGCCGGAUUUUGUGUUGUAUUGACUUUAUCAGCUUUCUGCACUCUUUUCUUGUCUUUUUUAAUGCACUUUUCGUUUAACAAGUCAACAUCAAUUUCUUUUGUUGUAAAAGGGUCAUUGGAAGGUGGCUUUCUUUUCGGAGAAAGUGUUUAUAGCCUUUGGCCUCUGCAAUCGGAGAGAUUGAGGUCUGCAGCGUAGAUCCUUCGGGGUUAGAUACAUUUGUGCUAAGUUAUAGCCUUUCAUAGACAACUUGUUGACUAUGAUCAGUCAUGUAGCUUACUCGCUUAUGCUAUUU